AGUGAACGCUGGCGGUAGGCCUAACACAUGCAAGUCGAACGGCAGCACAGUAAGAGCUUGCUCUUACGGGUGGCGAGUGGCGGACGGGUGAGGAAUACAUCGGAAUCUACUUUUUCGUGGGGGAUAACGUAGGGAAACUUACGCUAAUACCGCAUACGACCUACGGGUGAAAGCAGGGGAUCUUCGGACCUUGCGCGAUUGAAUGAGCCGCUGUCGGAUUAGCUAGUUGGCGGGGUAAAGGCCCACCAAGGCGACGAUCCGUAGCUGGUCUGAGAGGAUGAUCAGCCACACUGGAACUGAGACACGGUCCAGGCUCCUACGGGAGGCAGCAGUGGGGAAUAUUGGACAGUGGGCGCAAGCCUGAUCCAGCCAUACCGCGUGGGUGAAGAAGGCCUUCGGGUGGUAAAGCCCUUUUGUUGGGAAAGAAAAGCAGCAGGUUAAUACCCCGCUGUUCUGACGGUACCCAAAGAAUAAGCACCGGCUAACUUCGU
This 491-nucleotide ribosomal RNA is filed under the name uncultured bacterium. RNAcentral's name for it is "partial 16S ribosomal RNA". It matches the Rfam family "Bacterial small subunit ribosomal RNA", at positions 29 to 506 of the family's 1533-position model. The record is from RNAcentral.